GACGAACGCUGGCGGCGUGCUUAACACAUGCAAGUCGAACGGAAAGGCCCUGCUUUUGUGGGGUGCUCGAGUGGCGAACGGGUGAGUAACACGUGAGUAACCUGCCCUUGACUUUGGGAUAACUUCAGGAAACUGGGGCUAAUACCGGAUAGGAGCUCCUGCUGCAUGGUGGGGGUUGGAAAGUUUCGGCGGUUGGGGAUGGACUCGCGGCUUAUCAGCUUGUUGGUGGGGUAGUGGCUUACCAAGGCUUUGACGGGUAGCCGGCCUGAGAGGGUGACCGGCCACAUUGGGACUGAGAUACGGCCCAGACUCCUACGGGAGGCAGCAGUGGGGAAUAUUGCACAAUGGGUGGAAGCCUGAUGCAGCAACGCCGCGUGCGGGAUGACGGCCUUCGGGUUGUAAACCGCUUUCGCCUGUGACGAAGCGUGAGUGACGGUAAUGGGUAAAGAAGCACCGGCUAACUACGU
RNAcentral lists this ribosomal RNA (467 nucleotides) under uncultured bacterium. RNAcentral's name for it is "partial 16S ribosomal RNA". It matches the Rfam family "Bacterial small subunit ribosomal RNA", at positions 28 to 506 of the family's 1533-position model. The record is from RNAcentral.